UCCGUAGGUGAACCUGCGGAGGGAUCAUUACAGAGUUGCAAAACUCCCUAAAUCCCUUGUGGAAAACCCUUAUUUUAGUCGGUAUCUUCUGAGUAAAAAGACAAAUAAGUCAAAACUUUCAACAACGGAUCUCUUGGUUCUGGCAUCGAUGAAGAACGCAGCGAAAUGCGAUAAGUAAUGUGAAUUGCAGAAUUCAGUGAAUCAUCGAAUCUUUGAACGCACAUUGCGCCCGGUAGUAUUCUGCCGGGCAUGCCUGUUCGAGCGUCAUUUCAACCAUCAAGCCCCAGCGCUUGUGUUGGGGGCCUGCGGCUGCCGCAGCCCCCUAAAAGCAGUGGCGGGCUCGCUAUCACACCGAGUGCAGUAGUUCAUCUUCUCUCCGGUCUUGUGAGGCGGGUUCCGGCCGUGAAACACCCCACUACAUUCAAGAUUGACCUCGGAUCAGGUAGGAAUACCCGCUGAACUUAA
RNAcentral lists this ribosomal RNA (465 nucleotides) under uncultured fungus. RNAcentral describes it as "eukaryotic LSU rRNA". The stretch from base 114 to 267 matches the Rfam family "5.8S ribosomal RNA". Lineage: Eukaryota; Fungi. The record is from RNAcentral.